Molecule: long non-coding RNA, 1221 nt
Organism: Colossoma macropomum (tambaqui)
Lineage: Eukaryota; Metazoa; Chordata; Actinopteri; Characiformes; Serrasalmidae
Exons: 3
Source: RefSeq, a predicted model, not a curated record
UGGGAUUCCGAGCGCUGCGCUCGAGCGCGAGCUGCGAGUCUGUCAGUGUGGAGCUGAGCGAGGAGUUUACUACAGCACAGCGUUUGGAUUUUCAUUAGGUUUUACUCUGUUUUUGCGAUUUUUUUCCCGCUCAAGAGUUUGUCCUUGGUGUUUUUAACCUGUAAACGUUCACUGGAUACUCUUUUAGGCGGUUUUACUACAGGAGGUUCACACGUGGAGAACAUGGAGAAAAUGUUGCCGUUUUUACGAAUGCUUUCUUUCAUGUCACGGAGACCUUCUGUGGAUUUUGACUUGGUGGAUGUCUAUAUGAAGAUUACUGUUCAUUCGCGCGCACUCUUACAAACUCUGAGGAGGAGGAGGAGGAGGAGGAUACCCUUGUCUGUCUGUCUCUUCAAAGGGAUUCCCAGCCAGCCCGCUGUGGAUACUUGGCUCUCUGGCGAAGCCCGCUCUCAGUCUGGAAUUCUCUGGCUCUCUCGGGAUUAAAAUGCCGCUUCUUGCUUGGAUUUUGUGGCUCAUUCUUCAGGCUCUCGCCCCAGAAAUGGAUGUUACCUCACCAGCGUUGACUGUUGAAAUGCAGCGCCUAUGGAGUAACGGCUGACGGAGGAGUAAAGCAAUGACAUGACACUCCAGCUGGAUACGCGGACAGCUGUGGAAGCCUGAUUCCGGGAAAGCAGACACACUUGCUUGCUUCACGCGGAUUCUUGUGGUACUGGAUAAGUCACUUCUCAAGCAGGACAGAGAGGUGCUCAGGAGACAUCUGACGAACUUUGAGGAGUGAUGGACAAGUACACUGUUGAUUUAUCCACCAGUACAACCAUGGAUUUACAGAGAAUCACAUUCUCCAACACGUUUCACUUUCUCACCACCUGCUUGGGAUCUGGGAUCUGUUUUAUUGGGACACACCAAACAGGAUUACCUAAUUUGUUUUUUCAUGGCAUCAGGGUUAUGGAUUCAACACUCACUUUUUUGGACUAUGAUGAACUUCACUGUCCUGUAAUGAAUGCUGAUGAAGUGUUUUAAUUCAGCUUAAUUAAUAUAGCUGUGAGCUCCACAAUUCACUGGUUGCUUCUGACGUCUGCCAUUCAGGCAGGAUGGGAAAAUUUCACCUUGACCUUUCAUCUUCCUUUACUAAAUAUGACCUUGUUGAUCUCAUCAUGUGUACCAUGUUUGGUAGCCUUGCCACCAAAAAAUUAAAGCAGAAAAAUCUGUGCCAACAAUGGA